AGGAAUAUUGGUCAAUGGACGCAAGUCUGAACCAGCCAUGCCGCGUGCAGGAUGACGGCUCUAUGAGUUGUAAACUGCUUUUGUACGAGGGUAAACCCCGAUACGUGUAUUGGGUUGAAAGUAUCGUACGAAUAAGGAUCGGCUAAAUCCGUGCCAGCAGCCGCGGUAAUACGGAGGAUCCGAGCGUUAUCCGGAUUUAUUGGGUUUAAAGGGUGCGUAGGCUGUUUGAUAAGUUAGAGGUGAAAUGUCGGGGCUCAACCCCGAAACUGCCUCUAAUACUGUUGGACUAGAGAAUAGUUGCGGUAGGCGGAAUGUAUGGUGUAGCGGUGAAAUGCUUAGAGAUCAUACAGAACACCGAUUGCGAAGGCAGCUUACCAAACUAUAUCUGACGUUGAGGCACGAAAGCGUGGGUAGCAAACAGGA
RNAcentral lists this ribosomal RNA (423 nucleotides) under uncultured bacterium. RNAcentral describes it as "bacterial SSU rRNA". It matches the Rfam family "Bacterial small subunit ribosomal RNA", at positions 357 to 777 of the family's 1533-position model. The record is from RNAcentral.